UGUAAAGCCAUGGCAUGUAAUCCUUC
Molecule: non-coding RNA, 26 nt
Filed under: Mus musculus (house mouse)
Lineage: Eukaryota; Metazoa; Chordata; Mammalia; Rodentia; Muridae
Source: RNAcentral